AGAAUUGUUCCCGCAAAGAAGGGUGGAGAGAAGAAAAAGGGCCGUUCUGUCAUCAACGAGGUGGUGACCCGAGAAUACACCAACAACAUUCACAAGCCCCAUCCAUGGAGUGGGCUUCAAGAAGAGUCCCCCUCGGGCACUCAAAGCGAUUCAGAAAUUUGCCAUGAAGGAAAUGGGAACUCCAGAUGUGCACAUUGAUACCAGGCUCAACACAGCUGUCUGGGCCAAAGGAAUAAGGAAAGUCCCAAACCGAAUCCGUGUUUGGUUGUCCAGGAAAUGUAAUGAGGAUGAAGAUUCACCAAAUAAGCUCUAUACUUUGGUUACCCAUGUACCUGUUAACCACUUUCAAAAAUCUACAGAGAGUCAAUGUGGAGGAG
RNAcentral lists this long non-coding RNA (377 nucleotides) under Homo sapiens (human). RNAcentral's name for it is "non-protein coding lnc-MBL2-9:1". The record is from RNAcentral. Lineage: Eukaryota; Metazoa; Chordata; Mammalia; Primates; Hominidae.